This 642-nucleotide ribosomal RNA is filed under the name Cladosporium sp. RA10-1. RNAcentral describes it as "eukaryotic LSU rRNA". The stretch from base 149 to 302 matches the Rfam family "5.8S ribosomal RNA". The record is from RNAcentral. Lineage: Eukaryota; Fungi; Ascomycota; Dothideomycetes; Cladosporiales; Cladosporiaceae.
CCGGACGGCUACACCGGCAUGUUCAUAACCCUUUGUUGUCCGACUCUGUUGCCUCCGGGGCGACCCUGCCUUCGGGCGGGGGCUCCGGGUGGACACUUCAAACUCUUGCGUAACUUUGCAGUCUGAGUAAAUUUAAUUAAUAAAUUAAAACUUUUAACAACGGAUCUCUUGGUUCUGGCAUCGAUGAAGAACGCAGCGAAAUGCGAUAAGUAAUGUGAAUUGCAGAAUUCAGUGAAUCAUCGAAUCUUUGAACGCACAUUGCGCCCCCUGGUAUUCCGGGGGGCAUGCCUGUUCGAGCGUCAUUUCACCACUCAAGCCUCGCUUGGUAUUGGGCAACGCGGUCCGCCGCGUGCCUCAAAUCGACCGGCUGGGUCUUCUGUCCCCUAAGCGUUGUGGAAACUAUUCGCUAAAGGGUGCUCGGGAGGCUACGCCGUAAAACAAACCCAUUUCUAAGGUUGACCUCGGAUCAGGUAGGGAUACCCGCUGAACUUAAGCAUAUCAAUAAGCGGAGGAAUCCAUGCCCCGUAAACCCGGGAUACUGUAACCUUUUGUGUGAAUAUAUUCUCAGAUGACCGGCUUCGGGGGGACUGCGCGAAUCCUAAUCUAGGGAACUUUUGGCUAGGACUGAUUUAAAAUAACCUC